RNAcentral lists this transfer RNA (63 nucleotides) under Kulikovia alborostrata. Its description in RNAcentral is "tRNA-Lys". The record is from RNAcentral. Lineage: Eukaryota; Metazoa; Nemertea; Pilidiophora; Heteronemertea; Lineidae.
AUUUUGAGUAACUAAAAUAAGUGUUGAGCUUUUAAUUCAAUAAUAAGCGUUGCUUCCAAAAUA